Molecule: ribosomal RNA, 99 nt
Filed under: Triticum aestivum (bread wheat)
Lineage: Eukaryota; Viridiplantae; Streptophyta; Magnoliopsida; Poales; Poaceae
Description: partial small subunit ribosomal RNA
Source: RNAcentral
AUGCUUCCUUGCCCCUGUGGAACAUGUGUGAGCAUUAUGUUUUUCCAACAAGUUAUCCGACUGCAAGAAGUGUUAUAUGAGGACUUCAAGAUCAAAUAG